AACCAUUCUCACCUGCGGCUAGACCUGCGGAGGGAUCAUUACCGAGUUUACAACUCCCAAACCCCUGUGAACAUACCACUCGUUGCCUCGGCGGAUCACCGCGCCCCGUGAAACGGGCCGGCCCGCCAGAGGACCUAAACUCAAAUGUUUUAUUGUAUCUUCUGAGUAAAAACACAAAUAAAUCAAAACUUUUAACAAUGGAUCU
Molecule: unclassified non-coding RNA, 205 nt
Filed under: soil metagenome
Description: partial contains 5.8S ribosomal RNA, internal transcribed spacer 2, and large subunit ribosomal RNA
Source: RNAcentral